GAUGAACGCUAGCGGCAGGCCUAAUACAUGCAAGUCGGACGGGAUUCAGGAGCUUGCUUCUGAUGAGAGUGGCGCACGGGUGCGUAACACGUAUGUAACCUACCUUUAUCAGGGGGAUAGCCUCUCGAAAGAGAGAUUAAGCCCGCAUAAAAUCACAGCACAGCAUUGUGUAAUGAUCAAAUAUUUAUAGGAUAAAGAUGGGCAUGCGGAACAUUAGCUAGAUGGCGGGGUAACGGCCCACCAUGGCGACGAUGUUUAGGGGAUCUGAGAGGAUGGCCCCCCACACUGGUACUGAGACACGGACCAGACUCCUACGGGAGGCAGCAGUAAGGAAUAUUGGUCAAUGGGCGGAAGCCUGAACCAGCCAUGCCGCGUGCAGGAAGACGGCCCUACGGGUUGUAAACUGCUUUUAUACGGGAAUAAACCCAGAUACGUGUAUCUGGCUAAAUGUACUGUAAGAAUAAGGAUCGGCUAACUCCGU
RNAcentral lists this ribosomal RNA (481 nucleotides) under uncultured bacterium. RNAcentral's name for it is "partial 16S ribosomal RNA". It matches the Rfam family "Bacterial small subunit ribosomal RNA", at positions 28 to 506 of the family's 1533-position model. The record is from RNAcentral.